This 468-nucleotide ribosomal RNA is filed under the name uncultured bacterium. RNAcentral describes it as "partial 16S ribosomal RNA". It matches the Rfam family "Bacterial small subunit ribosomal RNA", at positions 28 to 507 of the family's 1533-position model. The record is from RNAcentral.
GACGAACGCUGGCGGCGUGCUUAACACAUGCAAGUCGAACGGAAAGGCCCUGCUUUUGUGGGGGGCUCGAGUGGCGAACGGGUGAGUAACACGUGAGUAACCUGCCCUUGACUUUGGGAUAACUUCAGGAAACUGGGGCUAAUACCGCAUAGGAGCUCCUGCUGCAUGUUGGGGGUUGGAAAGUUUCGGCGGUUGGGGAUGGACUCGCGGCUUAUCAGCUUGUUGGUGGGGUAGUGGCUUACCAAGGCUUUGACGGGUAGCCGGCCUGAGAGGGUGACCAGCCACAUUGGUACUGAGAUACGGCCCAGUAUCCUACGGGAGGCAGCAGUGGAGAAUAUUGCACAAUGGGCGGAAGCCUGAUGCAGCAACGCCGCGUGCGGGAUGACGGCCUUCGGGUUGUAAACCGCUUUCGCCUGUGACGAAGCGUGAGUGACGGUAAUGGGUAAAGAAGCACCGGCUAACUACGUG